This 229-nucleotide ribosomal RNA is filed under the name uncultured bacterium. RNAcentral's name for it is "partial 16S ribosomal RNA". It matches the Rfam family "Bacterial small subunit ribosomal RNA", at positions 568 to 796 of the family's 1533-position model. The record is from RNAcentral.
UACGUAGGCGGGAAAUUAAGUCAGUAGUGAAAUCCCACAGCUUAACUGUGGAACUGUUAUUGAUACUGGUUUUCUUGAAUAUAGUUGAGGUAGGCGGAAUGUGUAAUGUAGCGGUGAAAUGCUUAGAUAUUACACAGAACACCGAUUGCGAAGGCAGCUUACUAAGCUAUGAUUGACGCUGAGGUACGAAAGCGUGGGGAGCGAACAGGAUUAGAUACCAUGGUAGUCC